UCACAUAUGAACUAGUCACGUAUUUCAAAACGCAUUCACUACCUCAAUGAAACAUCUACGAUAACAACAUGAAUAAUAGACCUAAACGAAAAUAAAGUUACUAAGCAAACCCCUAUAACAAGAGGUGAACAUUGAUUCAACAAGCGACAUAACGAUUCAUAACACAUACAAAUCCUAUGGCCUUCAAGGCCUCUACAACCAACAAGUCCCAGCCUCAUUCACAAUUAAUAUUACACAGAUAAUUGAUUCUAUGGAGAAAAAGGGAUGAAGUAGAAAGUAAUAAAAUUAAAAAGAUGAGCAUGUGUUUAACUCUUUCGGGGCAGCAAAACGAGACUUGAGCUAUUUCCAGAGUAGUCACCACCAAAAAAUUAUCACCGUCGUCAACUCGAAGCUUCAAUUAGAUGACGAGUUUACAAAAAGGAGGGAAUUCUUUACUAACAGAGGCUCAUUUAUGCUCUAAAGGUUCUUCUACCUUUUUAUCCCUCAAAAAUUUUCUCUCCCUCUUCCGUUUUAGACCAAAAAUUUCCAACCUCUAAAAUUUACGAAUCCCAAAAUUUCGAAACCUUCUUCUUGAACCUUAAAAAUUUUGAACCCUAAUUCUCCAACCUUAGAAUUUCAAAAACCCCCCUCAGUUGAGAUUUUUCCGAACCUAAGUUUUGAAUGCAGAAAUUUCCAACCCAAGAAUUUCUAACCCAAGAAGUUCCAUUAAAGUUUCAAAUCGAGCCCGGGAAGAAGAAACCCUAAAAAUUUUUGUCCUAAUUCUCGAACCCUAAUUUUUACUCUAGAAUCUCCGCCAAUUUCCUAAAACGGGAUCCUCCCUCUUGCUUCUAAAACUCCCCUUUUAUAGAGAGUCAACUAGGGUUUAUUUAUGGGGGUAAAUUAGGGAUUUUCCAUAAUAGGAAAUUUUGAAAUUCAAAAUUUCAAACCUCCCUUGCUUUGGUUUUCAUCCAUGAUGCAUUCAUUUGUUGGAUUCUUUGAAGAAAAAUGAAAAUUGUGGACCAAUAAGAUUUGGGGAAAACAAAUGAACCCUAAGAACCAAUGAGAUUCAUCUAAAUAUGUACGAAAUCGUAUAAUUACACCCAAAAAUUGCGGAAUCAAAUCGUUAGGGGAUGGGGGGACAACUCAUCCGAUUCUAGAAACUUCUCAAGCUUCUUCGUACGAAUCCAUGUGAGAUGUGCAUGGAGAAUGGUUAGGUCGAGUAGGAAUUAAAGUUGUUCGCGUAUUGGGUUGACAGGAUUUGGGUUGAGGAGAGGUCGGGUAUAAGGUCAGGUUUUGGGGUCGUUUGGAGCUGAUUAUCGUGUUUCUCAGAUGUUGGUGUUGUUGUGAGAAAGAGGGGAAAAUUAGGGGUGGGCUAGACCGGGUCAUAUUUUGUCUUGGGCUUGUUGGGUUAACUCUGGUGGGCUACUGAUGAAAUUGUUGUUAAAUGGGGUUGGUGGCAUUAGAGAAGAAGGCAUGAGUUACUGUUAUAUUUAUUUUGGGCUUGGGAAAUUAUUUGGGUUAAAUGGUAGAUUUAGGAAAUAACCCCAAUUAAAUUAUGAUAUGGAUAGUUUAGGCUUUUUGGCUAUUAAUUAAAUAGCCAAAAGAAAGAGACUUUAGGCAAUUUCAUUUAAAAUUUAGCCUAAUUAAACUCAAUCGACCAAUUACAUUUAAAUUAUGGCCAAAUUAAUUUCAAUUAAGGUCCAAAUUUAUAUAGAUUGACUAAAUUCAAUUGAAAUUAGAUACGAAUUAAUUCCUUGUUCAAUCACGAGCUUCUUGGUUUAAUAAAACCAAACAAGUAUUUCUCCAAAUAGAUUAUUUGUAUGAAUAAAUUAUAUUUAAAUCAAGAUUUAAUUAUUUAAAUUUAUUUUCCAAAUAAUCCUUAAUUUAGAGUCCAAUUUUGAUGAAAAUGUUCAUUUAAAUGACAUCAUUUAUACAAGCUCUUAUAUGCAAACACGAAAAUAUAUAAUUAUCACUUAAAUGACAAAUUUAGCCCAAAUACCUAUUUUAAAAUGUAUUUAUUUGGAAAAAAUAAUUGUUGUAAUUUUAUUUGAAAAUCGAAGAAACGAAAAAUUAAAUUAGAUUGCGGAGGAAAAAAUUAUGUGUCAACAACUGCCCCUUCCCUUUGGGUAGGGUGGAUGCAAGUAACCCUAGGUAAAGGGAGGUUGACGUUCCUAAUUUUUGUCCGACCACAAAUUCGUAUCUAAAAGAGGUUGGUUUUCCGCAUGAGUUUAUCGAGUUAUGGCCGAACCUCGUUAUCAGGUUUCCUACAUAUCUCAGGUAUCAUGAGAAUUCAGGCCACUUGUAGUUCAUAAAGCUUGAUUUAAAGCAUGAUUUUCAAGAAAAUUCACGAACUAUCACGGUUUUAGAAUUUUUGGUUAAACCAAGAAGCUGGGGGGUAAAGGGAUUUAGGGGAGAAGGUUGGAAUGCAGUUGAGUUUUCUUCAUAGAUACCAUCCAACAUAUCCCCAAGAUUUCAGGGAAUCAGAUUGCUUGUAGUUCGACUUAAUCGGUAGAAAAGAUAGUCUUUUAUUUCAGACGAUCUUUGGCUCAGGAUGAGUGACAAGUUGAUCGAGUUGAAGAAAAGAGGAUUGUAACCUCUUAACCAUGAAUAUGGAGCUCUUCACAUCCAUAUCUAAGAAUUUACCUGGGCAUAAUUUCCAGAACUCUAGGAGUCCUAUCACUCAAUUUUGGAAGAAAGAAGGUUACCCUCGACAUGAGUUAAGAAAUAUCCUGGAGUUGAAGCGGAGACUUAGAAUAUCCCAAAAUACCCACAUGCCUUCUAAUAGGGGUAUUGUUGGAUGGUGUUGGCGAUCAUCCUUUAGCUCGCGUCUAAAGAGUUUGACUUUCCUCUCUAGACUAUGUCCCGUUUUGCUGCUAAGAAAGAGUUCCACGUUGUGCUGCGUCCUUUUUGGAGUCGUCCGCACCUGUGGGUUUGAUUUGAGAUUUUCAUCCUCUCGAAUUCUUUUGAAAAUAUCUCAAACCAAAUUGUUAGUGCUAAACACAAUUCACGAAAGAGGCAUAUAAUUUUUAACCAAAUCUCUACGUGAGUUGUUGUCUAAGAAGCGAAGUCAUCUUUCUAUGUACCUACUUGGAAUGAAAUAACUAGCAACGACAAACACAAUAACCAUCUUGGUUGUUGUAUAAUUAUGACAUUUGUCGGUUGAAUAUGUCUUCAAAGUGGGGUGGCCCUUUCGGACACCGAGGACACUUUAUGCAGAACAUUCCCUACAACCGUGUAAUAUUGUGCUGGUGUGGCGACUCUUUUGGUUACCUAUAUCACUUGUUGUAUGUGGAAUGAUAACCUUUCUGGUUAUAGACGAUGAUUGAUUUAUAAAUUUUUCUUAAAUUGUCAGUCUUUGAAUAAUCUUGUGCAUUAUUUGAUGUUGGAUAUGAGGCGACUUACAGAUAUCCUUUGAAUUUCUAACUUUUAGGUAAUCCUGCACAUUAUCCAACUUUGGAUAAGAGAUGGAUUACAGAUAUCCCUCCAAUCGCUAGCUUUUAGGGGCUCCCGCACAUCAUCCGACCUUGGAUAUAAUAUGACUUAUAGAUAAUCUCUCAAAUUGUUAGUCUUUGGGUAAUCCUACACAUAAUUGAUCUUGGAUAUGAUGCGCCUUAUAGAGAACCCUUGGACAUAUCAAUUUGAUAAUCUUGCAUAUUCUCCGGUAAGGAUUUAGUUGCGACUUAUGGAUAACCUUUGAACUAUCAAUUUUUGGGCGAUCUUGCACACUAUCUAGUUAGGAUGUUGUUGUCGCUUACGGAUGACCUACAGGCUAUCAACUCAUAGGUGAUCUUGCAUACUAUCCUAUUUCAAAUAAUAUGACUUAUAGAUGACCCUCAAAUUGUCAAUUUCUAGGAAAUCAUAUAUAUCAUUCAUCCUUAAAUAGCGACUUAAAGGCGUCCCUUCAAAUAGUAUGCUCUCGAUGCAUUCAGAUGAUGAUUCAUAAAAUGAUGAGAUAUCCUUGACACCAGCAUUUUUGUCUAGCGUGUCAACAGACAUAAAAUAAUAAUGAUAUAUUUGACGCCAGCGUUGUAUCUAGCGCUUCAACAGAUAUUGAAUGAUGAUGAUAUCCUCGACACCAGCAUUGUGUCUUAUAUGUCAAUAGAUACAUUGAAUGUUGAUGAUACCCUCGAUGCCAACAUUGCCUCUAGUGUGUCAACAGAUAUUGAAUAAUGAUGAUAUCCUCGAUGCCAGCAUUUUAUGUCUUACGUGUCAACAUAUAUAAAAUGACCCUCUCGACAAAUAAUAUGAAUGGCCCUCUUGGCAAUAAUUUGAAAUGGCCCUCUUGGAAAUGAUAUGCAAUGGUCCUCUUGGCAAUGAUAUGCAAUGGCCCUUGCGGUAAUGAUAUUUGAUGGCCCUUGCGGCAAUGAUAUUCAAUGGCCCUUGCGGCAAUGAUAUGCAAUGGUCCUUUCGGCAAUGAUAUGUAAUGGCCCUUGCGGUAAUGAUACGCAAUGACCCUUGCGGCAAUGAUAUGAAUGACCCUCUUGGAAAUUUGAAAGCAAUUUCACCUGAGUUUGUUUGUCUGCGUCUUGCUUUCUACAUGUACCUAUACUCAAGGUAGAUGAUUAGUAGACAUAAAUUCUCUUUUGCUAGCGACUAUAUUUUUUAGAAAAAUUCUAAAUACAAUAUUUGUAAAGAAGACAGGACACUUUUGUUUAUCCUCCAUGAUCUCAAUAAAUGAGAUGGAUAAUUCAAAAGGUCCUCAAUAAAUGGGUAUUAAACCCAUUUUUAGGGCUACCUAAAAAUACAGUUCUUAAGCAUUAGUGCUCUGGUGUGGCUCCCAAUUUGCUCGGGGAUUUUUUAACGAGACUCUCAUUUUUGUGUAUUGGUCCCUGCAUCCACAGAAAAAUGAUUAGUUUGAGUGAAACUACUCCGUGUUGACUUUUUUCGAUUCUCCAUUUGCUCUACCCCAUCUUUUGGGUGCUCUGUCAUGUUGGGACUUUCACCCUUGACUCCCCGUCCUAAUUGAUGUCUAGGCAAUCAUUAAGUAAAAGAUUUAUAUAGAUUUUUUAAAGUAGUCUUAAUUUUUUAGAAAAUAGUUUCGAAAACUCCUGAAAAACUUUAGAAAAUCUCUGCUAGUUAUGUCAUGUGGUAGCUCAACGACCAUCUUUCUCUUGAUUUUGACAAUGUCCGAAGUUUGGCGGAGGAUUUCUAGGGAUUCAACAUUGUCGAGGCUCUCUACCAGAAGUUUUAUCAAAGAUAGAGAUUCAGUCUUCCUAGACUUUAUCACAGGUGGUGAUUCUCAAAUCUCAACUUCGACCUCUAAUGCUGGGGAAUUUGAAAUAUAUUUCAAUCUUUGAUUGAAAUUUUAAGGCCUCCCUCAAAAUUUCUUCUCCAGUUUUAGUCUAAGAUAAAAUCAUCUUGAGUGGAUCUGAAGCCUUUGCUGAUCUUCAUUCUCUUUGUUGGAUGUUGAUCUUCUUUUGUGAAUUUUUUAGAUUCCUUCUGAAAAAUUCUGCCCCAAUUUUCAUUUCCUGAGGUUAUAUGACCGAGCCGUUGGGGCGCCUAUGUAUCCUGUUGAAGCAGUAAUCGGGUCAAACGUAGUUCAAGAUAAAGGGAAACGAUAAAUUAUCCUAAGGGGUUGACCGAAGUCGAUAUAGGCCACCUACGUAUCCCUUUAUUGGGAAUUCAGGACAAACUAGUUCAUACAUAAAAGGAAAGGAUACAUUUUCCUAAGGGGUUGAUCGAAGCCGAUAUAGGCCGCCUAUGUAUCCCUCUUUGGGAAUUCAGGUCAAGCAUAGUUCGUACAUAAAGGAAAAGGAUUCUAGGCAAUUACACAUCAUAAAAUUGAUACUAUUAUAAAGGAGAAUACAAAUAAGCCAAGAAACAAAAACUAUAACAUCUUUCAAGCACAAUAUCUCUUUACCGCAUCAGAAUUAAUUAGUUUGGUCUACUCUUGACCAUCCAUCUCAGGUAGGAUUAUGGCUCCUCCAGGUUGUGCUUCUUUUGAUUUUCAUAUUUCUCUGUAUCUACUACUAAUUGCUCCUCAUCAUCUUUUUUUGUUCAUCAUUAUUUCCUUCGCUCUGCUCGUCUAACCUUUGACAUGACAUGACAUUGACAGGUUUUUGAAUUAUUGUUACCAAAAUAAGCCAUGCUAGAUAAUCAUAUUUAAAAAAUAACUUCUUAAAUAAAAGGAGGCCUUUUGGAAAAUAAAUAAAAACUAUGGCUUAGGACCUACACAAAUGUGGGCCCAUGCCUUUUUGAGAGUUGUGAAACAUGAAACAAGAAUUUGAGACAUAAAAGAGUGGAUCACGGGGCCUCCUCCGGAUCAUCACUAAUUUUAAAAACUAUUGGUAAUUUCCCUUUCAUCUACCGUGAUGGGUGACGAAUUAGGAGCGGAGUGGAAGUCCAAUUUUGUAAAACUUCUCCUGGUGCAACCUUCUUCAUCCCACCGGACUUUGGGAAAUUAUCUGGUAGAGCAUUGGUUCCUUUGAAGAGAUCUCCUAUCCCAUCCCCAAGGCCAUCAUCAUUUGAUAUCUCAUGUACGGGAAAUGACUGGUACAAGAGCAGCAAGGGCCUAAACAGACUCUCCUUUGAAUUAUCUUCGAUCUCAUCUUCCUUUCUUAGUUGGUACUCUAUUCCAUGCUUAAAAGAUUUUUCUUGGACCAUAACAGGCUUGAUAAUUCUUUCCAAAUCCUUACUUAAGGUGGCCACAACUUUCUCUAUCUUCUCCACCUCUUCUGUUCGUUUGAGUUCUUCUGAAUCUACCUUAGUGAUGGCCUUGCUAGACAUUCAUUCACCCUCUAUUUCAAUUAUGUUAACUGUAGGUCCCCCAUGGUUAGGCAAUGGAUUACUGUUAAUAUUUGGUGUUGGCGACUGAAGCGUGAUGACCUUCUGAUAGAUCAAAUCUUGGAUCUUAUGUUUCAAGUUAAUACAAUCCUCGGUACUGUGCCCCACUGCUCCUGAAUGAUAGGCACAAUUUUGAUCGGGAUGAUAAAACCGGGAGUUGGGAUUGAUAGGCUUUGGCUGGAUCUGUUACAAAUAACCAGCUUUCAUCAAUCUUCAGAAGAGCUGGGUACGACUUUCAGCUAGCGGCGUGAAGUUUCGAGGAGGUUUCUUUUCGAAGUUUGGACGUGGAGGGUUAUAAUGGUUCUGAUUUACAAGAAGAGGUACUUGAUGAUAAUUUGGAGAUGUUUGGAUAUUUAUUUGGUUAUUUGGAAAAGUAGCUUGAGUAUGAAGCUGAUAAUUCGGCUGUGGAACUUGGUACUGGGUAAAAUAUUUGGAAUUAGAGCUUGAUAUUGGGGAUGAGCAUAGAAUACGGGCUGAAAAUUAGGUGACGGUGGUGAGGAAAGAAUAUUCCUAGGCUUGAAUUUCCUCUUUGAUUUAUCAACAAAAUCAGUAGAGACCGCAGUCACAUCCUCUCUUUUCUUCUUUGAGAAUGCAGAAGAUUCAGAUGAUGUUGGGGUUUUGGUAAUUUUUCCUGUUUGUAUGCCUUCCUGUAACGAUUCCCCAAUCUUUACUAAGUCUGCUAAAGUUGCUCGGACCAUGGACACAAAGCUGGUAUAAUAUUCUUCUUCCUAUGCGUGAGAGAAAACUGAUACCAUUUCUUCCUCAGACAUGGGAGGUUGUACUUUAGGAACCUCUUUUCUCCAACAAAAGGUGUAGUCUUGAAAACACUCAUUAUUCUUCUAUUUGAUCCGAUCUAGUGAGUAUCGGUCAGGGACCAUCUCAAUGUUAAAUGCGAACCUGUCAAGGAAACCCUUGGCCAAUGCUUUCCAACCAGUCCAUCUUUACAGUUCCUGAGACAUGAACCACUCUAAGGCUUCGCCACUUAAACUUCGGCUGAACAAAUGCAUCAAUAACGCCUUGUUUUUCCCUACCCCCACCAUUUGAUCACAAUACCUUCUCAGAUGGGCUAUUGGAUUUUCGAUGCCAUCGAACACUUCAAAUUUAGGGACCUUAUACCCUUCUGGUAGAUCUAUUCCAGGGUGAACACAUAAAUCAUCAUACCCUAAACCGUCGUGGUCCCUCACUCCAUGGGAUUCUUUAAUCCUCAUGAUCUCUUCAUUCAUAGCUAGCAACUUUAUUUCAUGAUCGGUCCUCCACUCUUUCUCCUUCUCCUUGUAAUGGUCCAUCUCAAGAUUAGGAAAAGGAUUAUAGAUAUCAGAGAAUAUAAUGGCAUGGAGAGGAUUUGAAAGAGAGUCUUGAUUUUACGGAUGAAACAAAGCGGGUUGGUAGGUGAGGCGGAUGUUAUGAAAAUUAGAAAGGUUUUGUGGAAUUUGAGAGUGGUUUGGCAGAAUCUGAAAAGGAUUUUACAGAUUUAGAAAUGAAUUUAGGGGAUUCGAAGGUAGGUUUGACGUAUUUUGUGGGUUUGAGAGUGAAUCUUGUGGAUUUAGGAAUGCAUUUUGUUGAUUUGAAAAUGUGUUUUGAGGAUUUGGGAAUGAAUUCAGAGACGGAUUCUGUGGGGUCAGAGAUGGAUUUUGUGAAUGUAGGCAUCUGGGUUAUUUUCACGAUUGGUGUAUUGGACAAAUGGAGAAGUGGGAGAUGGACGAUAUGUUAUUUGGCUGAUUCCCAAGAAUAGGUAUAUUGAGGGGAGAAAUUUGGAGUGGAGUCCCAUGUACUCCUGGAGUGGGGGCAUUGACAGUGAUGGCUAGGUUAGCCAAAUCUCGAGUGCAAUUUAUUUCCUCCUGAAGCAUUUCUAACUUUCUUGCAAGUUCCGUAAUCAUCUUAUUCUGUUUCGCUAUUACAUUGUCCCUGAUGGUCAAUGUGUUUUCUUCAUCAUUUCCAGUCAUUAUUGAAUGAUGGUCAGGGGAUGGGAUGUUAUGCACAUUUGACCGGGUGAAGUAGGGAUGUUCUGCCAGCUUAUAUCAACACGGAGUAGUUUGUAUUAUCUGUUAAGUAAAACAACUCAAAGGCAGAUGUGUUAGUUUCCGUAUGUGAUAAGUAAUGCAAAAUACUUGACAAGAAAUAACCACGUAGAAUUGUUUGAGUCAUAGCCAAAUUCAUCCAUAGGAGCACAAUGGAUAAACUUGCCUUUGAUCCACACAUAAGCACAUAAGACAAUUAUAUCAUACAAAACAUUAUGAUAAUGUGUAUCCUAAUUGGGGUAACCCUUUUUUGAGCCAAGGGUUCAGGCCUAACGAUUUUUGAAGAAAAUAUAUGCUUCCCUACAGUCAAUCCAUUAUCCCCCAACUUAUAUAGACACGAAAAGGGCAUAAAUUCUUACAAACGAUAACAAAAGAAGGAUACAAUCUUUAGGAAAAAAGGAAAAUAACAUGAAAGAAGAUAAGCUCCCACGCAGGGGAUAGAAAAUACCAAUUCCUGAGUGUUUCUUCUAUCAGCCUUUGCCUUCUCAGCUUCGUCCAUUUCUUAUAUUAGUGACGUCUGUAAACUGUGCCUUAGAUUCAACCUCACAAAUCGAUCAAUUUCUUGCUUAACUUACUUCAAUUCUUCUUACAAAAGUAAGCAAAUCAAGCUUUUCCCAAUCCCCAAAGGAUAAUGGAUUGAAUUUAGAGAAGCAUGUAUUUUUUUCAACACAUAAAUAUGAUUCGUCUGUAAUUGACUCGGGGUCAAUAGAUGCAGGGUAGGUUUUCUAAUGGACCCAAUACCCCGCUUGGGUAUUGGGUCGUCCUAGGAUCAUGCCUAAAACAGAGUUUUAGUUUCGUUCUAUCCUCGGUGUCUAGAGUGGGUUUGAACACUGGUUCUCAAGUGGACAACUUAAGUUUGAAAAUAAGAACAUCUUCAGAUGACUCGCGUGCUAAUAAGCUGUUGUAUUUCCAACAUAUUUUGGAAAUAAACAACAAAGGCCGGGACAUCCACGAAACCCCAAAAUAGUUUUAAUAAUACAGGGAUAUGCCAUGAGAUGCGAUAGUUAAUAUUUACAGAAUCAAAACAUAUAAACACAUAAACAGUUAAUCAAAAGAUGAAAUCAAACAUUUGGUUAGAACCUAGUUUUCAAAAUCUCUAGCAGAGUCGCCAUUUCUGUUUUGCGGAGAAAUUUUAACUUUUGAAAGAGAGUCGCCACUUAAUUUUGAAAAAAAAUUAAGAAAUCUUUAUAAAAUACUUCAAACGAUUCAAAAUAGGAAAAUCAUUUUAGUUAAGAGAUUCUGAGUAAGCGAUUCCUAUUAACAUUUUAGGAAGGUGUUAGGCACCUAAAACGUCUGCUAACUUGCGGUUAUCCUAUUUGUUUGAAAACAUUCUUUUGACUAACUCUGGAAAAUUGAUUUGUUGGAAUAGUGAUUGAUUAAAGGAAAUGUUUUUUUUGCAAAAUCUAUUUUUUAGCAACUUAGUUAGGGAUUUAACUAGGUUUACAGGAAGCACGCAAAACAAGUAAAAGGAGAAGGGAAAAGGGAGAAGUAGAGGGACUUAGGCCAUUGGGCCCAAAUCGAUAAACCCUAUCCUAGUCUAGUUGGGUUUUCGGCCCGUCUUCACCUAUCCUAAUUCUAUGUCUUCGAGACCAUUUGGGCUCAAUUUUUCAAUUCACUUGUAUUAAAUUACAACUUUGGCUUCGAGGCCCAAAUGGCUGAAGAAAUAAAUAAGUAAAUAAAUAAAGACAACAAUGAAACGGAUGAAUGAAUGAAUAAAUAAAUAAAUAAAUAAAUAAAAUGAGACAUUCAAGUCUCAUUGCAGUUUCAAGGAUGGGACUUUAACCCAUUCUUCUACUUUCAGCUCCUUGUAUUCGGUAUGCAUAAGGUCGCUCUUUGGAGGCUUCCGAAUUGACUCGGGAAUAGUGGGCCUCAAUGGCCCAUAUCGAUAAUGCAAAAUGGAAAAAGUCCAUUUGGGACCCAGGUGUUUCCACAUGCAAAGAAUAAAUAAAUAAAUAUCUAUGCGAAAUUUUAGUAAUUUAUAAUCUAUAUAGGAUUCUUACUAGUUCCAAACACACUCAAACACAAGAAAAGCGCAAAAAGGAACGAAAGUUCACAAAAGCUUAAAGAAUAACACGCAUGGAGAAAACAACUUAUCUUCCUAAUAACAGAGAACAACCAAUAAGCAUGCUAAGGAGAUAUCUGGAAAAGCAUUUUUGUGGGUCAAUCAACAAGAGAAAAAUAGGAGAAAUAAACCAAACUAUAGGAGUAAGCCACUUUUUUUAAAGAAUUCUGCCAUAAUAGGGAAAGGUUACUCAUAUAAUCACAUGCCAUUCAUGCUGCCAUCUUUAUGUAAAUUGGUCCAAGAAAGAUUUUAGAUGGAUGCAAUAACACUGGGUAAUCACCAUCAACAGUAAAGAAAAAGAUCCAAGACACUCACAGUAUUCACAAAACACGAAACAAUUGCACAGGCAUUAAUGAAUUCAAGAAUUAGCAACCUUUUUACGAACUAAAUGAAAAUCAAUAAUAAAUUCAAUAACCUAAUUUUUAUUUUGGAAAUCAGUAAGAUAUCAAUCACAAGUUCAAUAAUCUAUAUUCCUACUUCAACCAAAACAACCAAGACACUCGAGUACAAUUCAUAAGCUAUACAAUUGGAUGAAAUUAAACAGGAGUUACGAGUAAUGAUACUUGACUUUGAAUGACAUUACGAAUAACAUAAUUUUUACCUAACAGAUCAAGUACAUUCCAUGCCUUCCAGGCUUUUAGAAGACACCAAGCAUACAGGAAAAGAGUUAAAUUACCAUUUUAAUACUUCAAAAAGAAGACGAGACAGAACCAAGUUAGUGACGACAAACAAAACAACGUCAAAUACUAACCAUGAACAAAACACCAUCAGCCUAAACAACUAGACAAAAUCAAAGUAUGGAACUUUAGCUAUGAAACCAACUAUUCACCUCAAGCAAUGAACAAAAUGAGAGCGUUACAUCGCAAAUUAAUCAAUAAUAUCAAGAUUAGAAGACGGAUUUCAAACCUGAGGCAAAAUUAACAGAGAUCGCAUAUUAGACAACUAUGGCUAAGAUUAGCUUAACAUAAAAAUACUAACAAAGUAUCUUUUUUACGCUACUGUUAGGCUCAAUACGAAAGAUUAUACUAGGUUAUGAAAUCAAUUUACAAAUUCAGGCGCAACAGGCAUACAAUUUGCAAGUAAAAAUGUCAAGGACGGGUUUAAACAAAUAUAGAUUAAUACCCAACAAGAUAUUAGCACCGAAUGGGGGCCUUAAAAGCAUUCAAAGCUUAAAUAAGCUCAGCUAGCUCACAUAUCAACGAGUCACGUAUUUCAAAACAUGUUCACUUCCUCGAUGAAAACAUCUGCGAUAACAAUAUGAAUAAUAGACCUAAACGAAAAUAAAGUGUUUAAGCAAACCCUAACAACAAGAGGUGAACAUUGAUUCAACAUGCGACAUAAUGAUUCAUAACACAUACAAAUCCUAUGGCCUUCAAGGCCUCUACAACCAACAAGUCUCAGCCUCAUUCACGAUUAACAUUACACAGAUAAUUGAUUCUAUAGAGAAAAAGGGAUGAAGCAAAAAAUAAUAAAAUUAAAAGGACGAGUAUGUGUUUACCUCCUUCAGGGCAGUAAAAUGAGACUUGAGCUAUUUCCAGAUUCGUCACCACCGAAAAAGUAUCACCGUCGUCAACUCGAAGCUUCGAUUAGAUGAUGAGUUCAUGAAAAGGAGGAAAUUCUUUACUAACAGAGGCUCAUUUGUUCUCUAAAGGUUCUUCUCCCUUUUUCUCCCUCAAAAAUUUUCUCUCCCUCUUCCUUUUUGGACCAAAAAUUUCCAACCUCUCAAAUUUCCAAACCCUAGAAUUUCGAAACCUUCUUCAUGAACCCUAAAAAUUUUGAACCCUAAUUCUCCAACCUUAGAAUUUUGAAAACCCUCCUCAGUUGGGAUUUUUCCGAACCUAAGUUUUGAAUCCAGAAAUUUUCAACCCAAGAAUUUCUAACCUAAGAAAUUCCCCUAAAGUUUCAAAUCGAGCCCGGGAAGAAGGGAAAAAGAAACCCUAAAAUUUUUUGUCCUAAUUCUCAAACCCUAAUUUUUAGUCUAGAAUCUCCGCCUAUUUCCUAAAACGGGAUCCCCCCUCUUGCUUCUAAAACUCUCCUUUUAUAGAGAGUCAACUAGGGUUUAUUUAUGGGGGUAAAUUAGGGAUUUUUCAGAAUAGGAAAUUAUGAAAUUCGAAAUUUCAAACCUCCCUUGCUUCGAUUUU
Molecule: long non-coding RNA, 12983 nt
Filed under: Capsicum annuum
Lineage: Eukaryota; Viridiplantae; Streptophyta; Magnoliopsida; Solanales; Solanaceae
Description: long non-coding RNA (CANN_LNC014665)
Source: RNAcentral